Pezoporus occidentalis (night parrot) is the source of this 370-nucleotide long non-coding RNA. RefSeq lists it as uncharacterized. NCBI's taxonomy places the organism in Eukaryota, Metazoa, Chordata, Aves, Psittaciformes, Psittacidae. The transcript is spliced from 3 exons. The record is from RefSeq and is a predicted model, not a curated record.
GAAAGUCUACCACAGACACAGAUCAGUGGAUUUGAUGCUUUGAGUGUACAGAUGUUUUUUCAACUGUCCCUAAUUCAAAGACAUUGUCAGACCUCUUCUUAUGUGAAGGGCUAAUGAAAAUGAAGCAAAAGCUACAAAUCUAUGUUUACCAUAGGGGUCAUGGCACACAUGAAAACUCCGCAGCUGUCUUCAGUGCUGAACAUUCUGUCAUAGAUUGCUGCUGUAUUUAAAGAAGGAGGUAGCUGAAAGGAAGCAGGCUCACUGUAUUAUCAUCCCGAUGUAGGGAAUUCCAGAAGUACAGUUUCAGGAUUGUUACCAUUACAAAACCAAGUUGAAAGAAACCUGAAAUAUCUUCCAGGGAACAGAAUUU